CGGACGGGUGAGUAACGCGUGGGUAACCUGCCUUAUACUGGGGGAUAACAGCCAGAAAUGGCUGCUAAUACCGCAUAAGCGCACGGGGUCGCAUGGUCCUGUGUGAAAAACUCCGGUGGUAUAAGAUGGACCCGCGUUGGAUUAGCUAGUUGGCAGGGCAGCGGCCUACCAAGGCGACGAUCCAUAGCCGGCCUGAGAGGGUGAACGGCCACAUUGGGACUGAGACACGGCCCAG
This 235-nucleotide ribosomal RNA is filed under the name uncultured Bacillota bacterium. Its description in RNAcentral is "uncultured Firmicutes bacterium partial 16S ribosomal RNA". It matches the Rfam family "Bacterial small subunit ribosomal RNA", at positions 99 to 334 of the family's 1533-position model. Lineage: Bacteria; Bacillati; Bacillota. The record is from RNAcentral.